GAUAGAACCUGAUUUGGAGCCAAAACUUUGAUACCAAAUUUGAUGUGAACCUCAAGAACGAUGCCUUAAAACCCACGAACAUGUUUGGUUUAUAAUCCCAAGAAAGCCAAAAUCAAGUUCAGACACCAAAGAAUACUUUGACCUGUCAAUUAUAUAAAAUUAAAAACCAAGAUAAUUAAAAGGUAGAAUUAAGGAUUCUUGA
This 202-nucleotide unclassified non-coding RNA is filed under the name Hevea brasiliensis (rubber tree). Lineage: Eukaryota; Viridiplantae; Streptophyta; Magnoliopsida; Malpighiales; Euphorbiaceae. The record is from RNAcentral.